GCACUGGCAAAAUCCAGUGCCGGGAUUGGACCCCCGUUGAAUAGCACAUAGCGCAUCGAUUCAGAUUAACCCUCUGACAAUGUGU
Molecule: small RNA, 85 nt
Filed under: Vibrio coralliilyticus
Lineage: Bacteria; Pseudomonadati; Pseudomonadota; Gammaproteobacteria; Vibrionales; Vibrionaceae
Description: isrK
Source: RNAcentral